CUCACGAGCUCAUCCACGGCGCCUCUCUCCGUCACCCGCGUCGCCGCAGCCCCCCGCCUCUUCUUUCUUUCUCUCGGUGUCCAUCAGCUCCGGUGUUUCCAUGAUAGAUUGGAGGACGGGGAGGAGAAGGAAGGAGCCGCCGUAGUCAGCGCCAUGGUGGAUGAGGCAGGCAACAGAGGAGGAUGGGUAUGAAUCACAAGAAAGGUGGAAGUCAACAUUUGUUAGACAUGGCGUUUAAUUGUGCACAAGAAUGAAGUUCAAUAGCUUUUCCAGAUUUAACAAAUCAACAGGUGUUAUAUCCAUGCAAGAGGUACAUGCCGAUGCAUUGGAAGUCUUAUGUUUGUGGAAGGAGAAAGCAAGGAGGCAACUGAAGAUAACGCUUAAAAGAGCAGCCCAUGUGGAUGCACAGCUUGAAUAGUAAAUUUAAUGGAGAUUUGUCAUCCAAUUGGUAGCUUCCUCUUUGUAGCCAUCUUCUUUGCUAGAGCUGCAACUAGUAUCCUCUCUGGAGUAGUUAUGCUGGUUUGUGAAUAAAUACCCUCUGUUAGCAAUAAAGCAAGGCAAUUGCACAUAUAUGUUAUGGCAUUUAUAUAUAAGAAAAUUGUUUUGUUUUUUACA
This is a long non-coding RNA of Triticum dicoccoides, 615 nucleotides long. RefSeq lists it as uncharacterized. The transcript has 3 exons. The record is from RefSeq and is a predicted model, not a curated record. Lineage: Eukaryota; Viridiplantae; Streptophyta; Magnoliopsida; Poales; Poaceae.